This 77-nucleotide transfer RNA is filed under the name Desulfovibrio ferrophilus. RNAcentral's name for it is "tRNA-Pro". It matches the Rfam family "tRNA". Rfam says of the family: Transfer RNA (tRNA) molecules are approximately 80 nucleotides in length. Their secondary structure includes four short double-helical elements and three loops (D, anti-codon, and T loops). Further hydrogen bonds mediate the characteristic L-shaped molecular structure. tRNAs have two regions of fundamental functional importance: the anti-codon, which is responsible for specific mRNA codon recognition, and the 3' end, to which the tRNAs corresponding amino acid is attached (by aminoacyl-tRNA synthetases). tRNAs cope with the degeneracy of the genetic code in two manners: having more than one tRNA (with a specific anti-codon) for a particular amino acid; and 'wobble' base-pairing, i.e. permitting non-standard base-pairing at the 3rd anti-codon position. Lineage: Bacteria; Pseudomonadati; Thermodesulfobacteriota; Desulfovibrionia; Desulfovibrionales; Desulfovibrionaceae. The record is from RNAcentral. RNAcentral also lists the same sequence under 1 other name.
CGGGAUGUAGCGCAGCCUGGUAGCGCACCUGAAUGGGGUUCAGGGGGUCGAAUGUUCAAAUCAUUUCAUCCCGACCA